AAAAAACUCCCUCCGUCCGAAAAUACUUGUCAUCAAAAUGAAUGAAAUGGGAUGUAUCUAGAACUAAAAUACAUCUAUAUACAUCUUCUUUUAUUCAUUUUGAUGACAAGUAUUUCCGGACGAAGGAAGUAUAAG
Molecule: non-coding RNA, 135 nt
Organism: Triticum urartu
Lineage: Eukaryota; Viridiplantae; Streptophyta; Magnoliopsida; Poales; Poaceae
Source: Rfam